This 1063-nucleotide ribosomal RNA is filed under the name uncultured Vibrio sp. RNAcentral's name for it is "bacterial SSU rRNA". It matches the Rfam family "Bacterial small subunit ribosomal RNA", at positions 45 to 1138 of the family's 1533-position model. The record is from RNAcentral. Lineage: Bacteria; Pseudomonadati; Pseudomonadota; Gammaproteobacteria; Vibrionales; Vibrionaceae.
GGAGCUACAUGCAAGUCGAGCGGCAGCACAAGGAACUUGUUCCUUGGGUGGCGAGCGGCGGACGGUGAGUAAUGCCUAGGAAAUUGCCCUGAUGUGGGGGAUAACCAUUGGAAACGAUGGCUAAUACCGCAUGAUGCCUACGGGCCAAAGAGGGGGACCUUCGGGCCUCUCGCGUCAGGAUAUGCCUAGGUGGGAUUAGCUAGUUGGUGAGGUAAUGGCUCACCAAGGCGACGAUCCCUAGCUGGUCUGAAGGAUGAUCAGCCACACUGGAACUGAGACACGGUCCAGACUCCUACGGGAGGCAGCAGUGGGGAAUAUUGCACAAUGGGCGCAAGCCUGAUGCAGCCAUGCCGCGUGUAUGAAGAAGGCCUUCGGGUUGUAAAGUACUUUCAGUCGUGAGGAAGGUGGUGUUGUUAAUAGCAGCAUCAUUUGACGUUAGCGACAGAAGAAGCACCGGCUAACUCCGUGCCAGCAGCCGCGGUAAUACGGAGGGUGCGAGCGUUAAUCGGAAUUACUGGGCGUAAAGCGCAUGCAGGUGGUGGAUUAAGUCAGAUGUGAAAGCCCGGGGCUCAACCUCGGAACCGCAUUUGAAACUGGUUCACUAGAGUACUGUAGAGGGGGGUAGAAUUUCAGGUGUAGCGGUGAAAUGCGUAGAGAUCUGAAGGAAUACCGGUGGCGAAGGCGGCCCCCUGGACAGAUACUGACACUCAGAUGCGAAAGCGUGGGGAGCAAACAGGAUUAGAUACCCUGGUAGUCCACGCCGUAAACGAUGUCUACUAGAAGCUCGGAACCUCGGUUCUGUUUUUCAAAGCUAACGCAUUAAGUAGACCGCCUGGGGAGUACGGCCGCAAGGUUAAAACUCAAAUGAAUUGACGGGGCCCGCACAAGCGGUGGAGCAUGUUUAAUUCGAUGCAACGCGAAGAACCUUACCUACACUUGACAUAAGACUUACCAGAGAUGGUUUGGUGCUCGAGCUCUGAACGCUGCAUGCUGUCGUCAGCUUUUAAAUUGGGAGUCCGCACGAACCUUAUCUGUCAUCAUGUGUCAGUGUAAAGUGACAAUC